CCCAACUGCUAUUUGGGUGAGAAUAAGCCAUGCGAGUUGAAUGGGAUACCUAAAGUUCCCAUAGCAAACUGCUCAGUAACACAUGAUCAACUUACCCUAUAGAGAAAAAUAACCUCGGGAAACUGAGGAUAAUGUUUCAUAAUUGAAUUGGCUUGGAAAAGUUUUUCAAUGAAAAGGAUAAAAAAAAUGGUUUUUAUCUGCUAUAGGAUAGGAUCGUGUUCGAUUAUGGUUGUUGGUGAGAUAAUGGCUCACCAAGCCGAUAAUCGAUAGGGGCCGUGAGAGCGGGAGCCCCGAGAUGGGUACUGAGACAACGACCCAGGCCUUACGAGGCGCAGCAGGCGCGGAACCUCCGCAAUACACGAAAGUGUGACGGGGUUACCCAAAGUGUUCAAUUUGAACUGUGGUAGGUGAGUAAUGUCCCCUACUAGAAAGGAGAGGGCAAGGCUGGUGCCAGCCGCCGCGGUAAAACCAGCUCUUCAAGUGGUCGGGAUAAUUAUUGGGCUUAAAGUGUCCGUAGCCGGUUUAGUAAGUUCCUGGUAAAAUCGGGUAGCUUAACUAUCUGCAUGCUAGGAAUACUGCUAUACUAGAGGGCGGGAGAGGUCUGAGGUACUGCAGGGGUAGGGGUGAAAUCUUAUAAUCCUUGUAGGACCACCAGUGGCGAAGGCGUCAGACUGGAACGCGCCUGACGGUGAGGGACGAAAGCCAGGGGAGCGAACCGGAUUAGAUACCCGGGUAGUCCUGGCCGUAAACGAUGCAUACUAGGUGAUGGUACGGCCAUGAGCCGUAUCAGUGCCGUAGGGAAACCGUUAAGUGUGCCGCCUGGGAAGUACGGUCGCAAGGCUAAAACUUAAAGGAAUUGGCGGGGGAGCACCACAAGGGGUGAAGCCUGCGGUUC
This 895-nucleotide ribosomal RNA is filed under the name uncultured archaeon. RNAcentral's name for it is "bacterial SSU rRNA". It matches the Rfam family "Archaeal small subunit ribosomal RNA", at positions 21 to 903 of the family's 1478-position model. The record is from RNAcentral.